UCCUACGGGAGGCAGCAGUGGGGGAUAUUGCACAAUGGGGGGAACCCUGAUGCAGCGACGCCGCGUGGGUGAAGAAGCGCCUCGGCGCGUAAAGCCCUGUCAGCAGGGAAGAAAAUGACGGUACCUGACUAAGAAGCCCCGGCUAACUACGUGCCAGCAGCCGCGGUAAUACGUAGGGGGCAAGCGUUAUCCGGAUUUACUGGGUGUAAAGGGAGCGUAGACGGCGGAACAAGUCAGAAGUGAAAACCCGGGGCUCAACCCUGGGAGUGCUUUUGAAACUGUUUGGCUGGAGUGCAGGAGAGGUA
Molecule: ribosomal RNA, 305 nt
Filed under: uncultured bacterium
Lineage: Bacteria
Description: bacterial SSU rRNA
Rfam family: Bacterial small subunit ribosomal RNA
Source: RNAcentral